GCUGCGGCUGCGAAAAGAACAUCAGAGAGCACUGCCUCAGUCCCCUGAUGACUUCGAGAUGACCUUCAGGGAAAAGGAAUUUCAUACAUGGUUCUAAGUUCAAGGUCAGGUCCCAGCCAGGGCAAGAAGACAAAACAAGAAAAUAUGAAGAUUGAAAAGGAAGAAAUAAAGCUGUCCUUAUUUGCAUGUGGCGUAACAGCUUAUGUAGAAAAUCCCAAAGUAUACAGAUACUCUAUUUGGAUUAGAAGCCAAGGGGGAGUUCUUUGUCUCAACACUUCACACACCCCAGGAGCCUCUACAGCUGGUGGAAGAUGCCGAGAGGGAAGGGUCUUGUAAACUGAUUUUGGUACGGCGUGAAUAAGUCCGCAGUGGCCACCUUCUUCCCCGAGCUGACUCUACAACAUCACAAGAGAAAGCUGAUCACUCGGGGCAGCAAGCUACAGCUGCAGUGAGCCCGGCAAUCACAAGAGUGAACAACUGACGUUGGCGCCUUCCUGAAGGACACUGUGCCUGCUAAACCACCAACAAGCGCGAUGCCCCAGCACCUGCGACCAGCUAUUCUCGAACCUCCUCAGGAGAGGGAGAAACAGAUGACCGGGUCAUUGUUGCAUCCUCAUCAUCCAGCAAUUAAUUUUAGCUCAAUGCUUCCAACAUUCUUCAUGCCCAGUGUGCUUUCAGCCGUGUCAGCUAAUGAGCGGUGGAAUCGAAGCAGACGUCUAGCAUUAACUAGGACAGAAUAAAUAAGCCUGCAGCUCAGGGAGCCGUUUCUUGACCCAGAUCACCAGGUGGAAUGGAUCCUUAACUCCUGCCACACCCAUGAGGUCGAUUUUCCAGAAGCACGUGGGUUAUCUGCAUGAAAGGGACGUGCUCACCCCAGCUGCACGAGGAGACCGUGUGCAAAGUUCUCCUCCAUCCCGGCUUUGUGAUCUGCUGCCAGCACUGUUAUAAACAGAGUGUUCGAUGUCGAAAGCAGGUUUCCCCAGCAACCCGAUGUCCAAGUCCAGGGAGGCCAGAGACCACCGCAAGGAUUUGAACAGGGGGAAUUGAACUAAAAGAAUUGUUUUUUACUUAACUAUUUCAUGAAAGAGGAGAAAGAGGACCUCGAGUUAUAUACAGAGUAGCAAAUGCAGAGAAUGACUUCCACCCUGGGAUAGUGACAAGGAAGGGACUUUGCACGUGGAGGACAGCCCUGCAAGGCUUAGGUUCAAGACCGCAGUGAGGGACCAGCCUGGGCCGUCCCAGGGAGCGGGAACUGCCCACCAGGCGGGGGGGGGGGGCGGACAUCAGGGCCCCACGGCCCUAGGAUACGCUGUGCUGCUUGAGUGACUGACUGAACAACACAGGACAAAAUCCCUCCUUCUGCCACCAGCUCCUGCUCGCCCUCCAGCGCCCUCUGUUGGCAGAGCCUGACACGGAGUUGCUGGCAAAGGAGAGAGGUAGCUAGCGGGCAGAGACCAGCUCCAGGAUCACAGAGCAGGGUA
This is a non-coding RNA of Microcebus murinus (gray mouse lemur), 1481 nucleotides long. The record is from RefSeq and is a predicted model, not a curated record. NCBI's taxonomy places the organism in Eukaryota, Metazoa, Chordata, Mammalia, Primates, Cheirogaleidae.